GAGAGAGAGAGAGAGAGAGAUCAAUUUUCAAUGAUGUCACACAGUUUUUGGUAUUUAUUACCCAACAAGUAAUUUAUUUCUUAUUGAAAUUGUUAAUAUUGUUACUAUGUUACUACAAACAACAUGAAAAAUAUAAAGUAUUAAAUGAUUCUAUCAUAGUCAUGAAAGAAAAAUGACUUAGUUAUUAUAUAUAUAUAUAGUGUUAUCAAAGGCAUGAGAGGUGCCCAG
Molecule: unclassified non-coding RNA, 228 nt
Filed under: Hevea brasiliensis (rubber tree)
Lineage: Eukaryota; Viridiplantae; Streptophyta; Magnoliopsida; Malpighiales; Euphorbiaceae
Source: RNAcentral